AUGAAAACUGUAAGACGGACAGAGAGUCUGGAGAACCGUGGAUCAGACGUCGGCCCAGCCAGCCUGGCAGAGAUCAGAGUCCGCCCUGCGAUUGGUGGCUUCCUGCCCAGCAGGAAGUAGUGAACGGCGUUUUAAAGCUGCUGCUGACGUCACAUGGAAGCUGGACCAGAAAUGGCUCUGCUGAAGGAUUGGCUGCUGCUGCUGGGGCUGGUCCCACAAAGUCCAGCUGAUCUUCAGUGUGCAGAGUUUAAGAUUGAUGAACAUGAGAAGUUGGAAAAGUCGGGGACUUUGUGCUCAGCUACCAGAAGUGGUUCAGUGUGGAAAGCUCUAAGAAGCCUUUAAGCAAUUUCCUGCACAAAAUUCAUACAUUGUUUCUGUUUUAUCAAAUAAAUCACAGCAGCAAAUCGACUAAAAGCUUUGUGUUUGUGACAGGGCGACUGGUGCAGGAUAUGUGUUCAAGAACAGGCUGUAUGGCGUUGGUUCCUUCGUUGGAGAUCCACUGUAUGUGUUGACAAAACCAACUGGUUUCCUGGAUGUCUGUGACUACAAGCAGUGGAUAGAUGACACAAUUAAUUAACCAAAAACCCGAGGUUGCUAAAUGUUGCUAAAUGUUCCCAGCACCAUAAAAUGACAAAGUUUAAGCUUUAAUUUUCAGUUGAUUCAUUUUCUGAUUUCCAGCUGAAUUAUUUGGGGAUUUAAGUUAAUCUGCGAUGAUAUCUUAUUUCUCAAUAAGUGAAGCUGCUGUUUGUAAUAAUCAGUAAUAAUAUCCACAGUCACAGGACUGCUGGAGAUAAAUGGCUGUUCUCUGA
This is a long non-coding RNA of Poeciliopsis prolifica (blackstripe livebearer), 809 nucleotides long. RefSeq lists it as uncharacterized. The record is from RefSeq and is a predicted model, not a curated record. Lineage: Eukaryota; Metazoa; Chordata; Actinopteri; Cyprinodontiformes; Poeciliidae. The transcript has 2 exons.